CACAGACUUUCACACACUCUGUUGCUCAUGACAGCAUCCGAGUGUAUGUAAGGGUGAAGGUUUGUGUUCACUAGUCUCCUCUAAGGAAAGCCUUGUCAUUCUGUUGGUCAGAACAGCAUGUAAGCAACAAAGAGAAAAGAUUCAAACCGACUGCCUGGCAACUCCGAAAGCAAAGGAGCUGAUCCAGCUAUCCUAAACCACGGUAUUCCACUUGCCUUUUGUAAAAAACUAAAGAAAAACUAACAUACUCAAGAAAUAUGGGAGGAGGUGAGAGUGAGGAGUGGGAUGGAAAGCAUCAGGAUACGAUGCAAACUCAGCCCCAGAAAAACAAGGACACGGAGGGCAAGAGCUCAGGGAGCAGCUGUCCCAGGUGCUGCUUGCAGACAAAGAAUUGUCUGAUGAGCCCAGAGUGCGGCAGAGCACUUCAGAUCUCCAACGUCAUUGCCAUGUGUGGAAUGUGCAUUGGCAUGUGGACAUAAUCUAACCUUGGACAUCUGGACCAGCUUUUCCUGGCUGUGUUAGUUCUCUGCAUCCUCCAGCACCCUUCAUGACAGUCUGGUUUCCUUCUAAUCUGAGACAUAUUUCACUUUUAAGUCCUUUUCAUAAGCUAAAGUUAUCUUUAAUUCAUCAUCUACAAGUUAUGUUAUUUACAUAAACAAAUUCACUGUCUGUAUAAAAAGACUAACUAGAAAGACAUUAUGAAUGAAUGAUUACAUAUUAGAAUAAAUGAAUGAUUGAAUGGAUGGAUGGAUGUGACUUUGAAGUGUAGGUCUUUGAAAAAGGUUAGCCUAUUGAUCACUUCUGAUUUAUCAAAAUGCUACAGUAUUUUGUCAAUCCAGAUUUUGUAUCUGUAUAGUUAAUUAGUUUUUAAUAAUGUAAAAUAACAAACAAGUGAACUUACAAGUGAUAUAUAUAUAUAUAUAUAUAUAUAUAUAUAUAUAUAUAUAUAUAUAGUGGUAUGUGUGAAGGCAUAAAUACUACAGUGUAACCACAACAUUUUGUCUUGAAAUAUGAGUAAGAUGCAAAACUUUAAACAAAGCAUCCUGCAACAACUCUAUAACAACUGUGCAUUAAAUUUAGUGCCAUUAUUAAUAGAGGCCUGUAAUUAAAAGUAAGAUAACAGAACAUAUUAAAUAGUUUUUAAUGUGAUGUCACAAGACAGUAUUGACAUUGCUGCCUCUUUGUGUGCCCCAUGUCCUUUUUCAUGUUAAAAAAAAUGAUACACUGACACAUUAUAGCACAAAUGUGUGAAAAUCAGAAAUGACCCAGUUCAUAGGUGAUAUUUGGUCACCCUGCAUGCUGCGGCAGCAGUGGGUCUACAGGUACACCUUGUGCCUCGAAAUCUGAAAGACAUUUACUGUCGCUCCAUGUUGGCAACUCUGUUCCUAGUAAAGAAUGACCAACAGCAGGUUGGUAUAUUUCUGAUGCAGGAAAAUACAGCAUAUUCCCACGGUGAGCUAAAUAAUCUCACUUAAACAUAAUACCUCCAUACAGUCAGCAGAGACAUAAAAAAGGCAUCCGUUAAUUUCUUUGAACCUGAGGGGGUUAAAGAAAGCUAGGUGCAACAAAACCAUUACAUACCACAGUUUGACCAUACAUUUCUAAGGUAUAAAUUAAUUAAUUUAAUUUAAUUAAUAAAAAAUUACAUGUUGAAGAGAAAGCCACUUCUUCUGACCUUGACACCUGAACUUGGGGUCACUGUGUAUGGUCAUCAUUUUGUUUCUGUGCUCAAUCUACAAGCAUUUGGAGAAGACAGGGCACUUUCUCUAAGUGCUGCCAGAUGUACAAGUGGAUAUGACUCUAAGAACAAUUAAACCACUGAAGGAAUGGAUCACAUUACACUUCAGAAACAGAAGAGAAACAGGUGCAUUAGGGGAGACCGGGGAUGGUUGUAACAUUUUUUAAAAUUUUGUCUUUAUCUCUGAGCUCUUUUAAGCCAGUGCGUUCAAAAUGUUAUAAAACAAGUUACAUGUGUCUAUUAAAUUGUGUAGCUGCAACACAGACAGAAAAUGCAUGGUUUAGUCUGAAACACAAGGAGUAAAACUUCAGAAUUCACCCCAUAGUCUAGGUUAAUUGUGUGAUGGCCUCUCUGCAGGGUUCAUAUUGCUGUUGGUGUGCUUUCUGUCUCCAGGUCUGCAGACCUGAUUGGCAGGGUAAUCAGCAGCAUAGGACACACCUGGGCCAGGUGUGCCCCAUGCAUAUAAGCCAGAGCAGUCCUCAUCUCACUGCUUCCUUUAUUGUGUUUGAUUUCUUGUCUUUGUUUUUACAGCACAACAUCCCACAGCACAUUUUCGUUCAUCCACUCCCUAUACUACUGACUUUACAGAUUCUACCCACUCAUUGGCUUUGGUCAUUUUCUUUUUAAUAAAUCAUUUUGUUAUUUAGUUUA
Molecule: long non-coding RNA, 2389 nt
Organism: Micropterus salmoides (largemouth bass)
Lineage: Eukaryota; Metazoa; Chordata; Actinopteri; Centrarchiformes; Centrarchidae
Exons: 3
Source: RefSeq, a predicted model, not a curated record